UCCUUCGGGCUCUAUGUGAACCUCCAAGGCCAACUGGCGAAUGCUCGCGAGCAUUCCCGUUUGUAAAAUGUCUGGAACAACUCGCAAAUUUCCAUCCUCCAGAUCAUACUUGAGUUUUGAAGCCCAAUCCGUAGUUGUAAACGUGAAUUUUAUCAGAUCGGUUAUACCUAAGCCCUGCCAUAGGAUCGAAUGCAUAUACUUGACAUCCAUAGCGGGCCAUUUCUUCGUCAAACGUCCAUUCGUGAUUGACGCCGAAUGAGUAAACAAGACAGUUCCCCGGCUCCAGACCGACAUCCGGAUCUAAACACACAGAUUUCCUGCCGUCGACAUUGCCACCGAAAUCGCGUUCUAAUUUGCAGCUGGAUGCAUUAUUAGUCCAUUGGAUGUAUUUUAGCAUUUCGUGAUGUUUCAAAGUUGCAACGUCAGUGUCGUUCCAAUCCAUUGUUGGUGACCGUGACAAGUAAAGGAUGAAGCAACCGAAACUAGCGACGAAUGCCCAACAGAACACAAAAGACACGGUUUUCAUUGUUGAUUUGACUGUUUUAAUGAUUAAAGCUCAUUGUGAUAAAACACAAUCACUUUUAAGUAUCGUCAAGUGGCAAGGAAAACUGAAAAACCCCAACCUCAUGAGCCUUCUCUUUGCGGGCGUCAGCUUUUGAAGAGACUCACGUCUAAGUAGCCAAAAGGCAUUACCUGUCAGUUUGAUGGAUUACUUUCAUCAUUGAAGACAAUCCCAUUUUUCCCAAAUCCCAACGGCAAUGAGACGACUGAUGAAUAAUGAAAAACAGGCGCUGUGCAGUGGAUGUUGGAUCGCAUGUUUCUUCUAUUUACCGGUAGAGGGCGAAGCGGUAGAAUCUAAUCGAUCGUCAUUUGUUCACCCUUCUUCACCCCGUAGCACAUGUGCUAGACAUUUUCGUGGAAAACCAAGUAGGUGAUUAUACGAUCUUUAGUCUUCGUCUGGUUAGUGACGUAAAGUACUACUACGUAAAGUGAUGUGAAACAAAACUAUUCAUUUGUUACGUCUAAUUUAGGCACAAUAGUUCGAUGAUAUGCAUUUGGAAUGGAGGGCUAUGUGGCUACAUACAAAUUACUAAUUAAUACCGGUUAAUCGCUGUUGUGAAAAAAAAAGCAAAUCCGUGCUUGAGAAAAGGUUGAGGGACAACCUACAGAAUAUACCCGUUUGGAUGACAACCUCGGGUUGGAUGACUGUGUUCCCGUGGCAUACGAAGCGAUGUCGUUGCUUGACGCCCUCGCCGUAUUCUUAAGUAGAACAUGUUGAAUCUGAA
Molecule: long non-coding RNA, 1286 nt
Organism: Daphnia carinata
Lineage: Eukaryota; Metazoa; Arthropoda; Branchiopoda; Diplostraca; Daphniidae
Exons: 3
Source: RefSeq, a predicted model, not a curated record